RNAcentral lists this ribosomal RNA (414 nucleotides) under Triticum aestivum (bread wheat). RNAcentral's name for it is "partial small subunit ribosomal RNA". Lineage: Eukaryota; Viridiplantae; Streptophyta; Magnoliopsida; Poales; Poaceae. The record is from RNAcentral.
AUGCACCACGACACCAGCCAGCAGCCAAGCACAGAGACAAGCAGCCAAGUUCGUAUGCGAUGGAAGUAUACCUCAUUGUUGCUGGCGACGGGCGGCUGUGGCGGAGAAGGCUCGAGUCACUCCAGACGGCGGCAAGGCAAGUUGGCAGGUUGGACGGGCGAUUGCAGGCGAGGGCGGUGGCGGCCGCCGCAGCGAGCCACUCAAGGCGGCGGCGGCGGUGCGCUCCCUGCAGUUGCCAAGAUCCAAUCCUUCUUCUAUCGAACUGAGAGGACAGAGGUUAGGCUUGUGGGCUCCUAUUGGGCUCAGGUCUGUUUGCGACGUGCUCGCCGUAUCGUCGCUGUGUCCACAGCGUGUCGCCGCCGUAUCGUGUUUAUUUUUUCAUUUUUUAAAUCAAAAAUCGGGAUACCUCUGUGA